UCACGAAUUACAUGGUGCUGGAUAAGAUGUUUUAGGGUAUCGAUAAGAUUACGAAAAUUAGAGAAUAGAACCAACGUUUUCCGUAAAAAUGGUGACGUGUCGUGAAUGACGUCACACAAAGGGACCUUUGUGGUCAAGUGAGGGGCGACCGCACAAAGACCUGGUUACGCCCAGAGCAAGGUGACAUAAGGCGAGCCGAGGGGAACACGAGCAGGAGAUUCUAUCUGUCUUAUCUGAGGUGAGAGUAGUGUGUUUCAUUUAGUGACAGUGUAAGAGUAUUUCAACAGGGUCAAUAUUUCAAUUAAUAUAGAGAGGGAUAAUGAUGAUAAUUGCCACAAAGAAAUAUAUAAUAGGGAGACUUAUACUGGUAAAUCUUGCUUCAGCCACCAUCUUCCUCGCUUCUUGCCUCAGGCGCCUUUUACAUCGCCAUAAGGGUGACUUCCCCUCAUGACACGUUCACCAAAUUAAACCCGCUAAAAGAGCGGGUUCAAAGGCUGAGUUUGAAGACUGAGUUUGGAGACUGAGUUCAAAAGCUGAAUUUAAGGCCGGAACUCCAGACCGGAUGCUCAGGUCAUGAUUGCUCAAGACUAACACGUCACGACCAACUCUUAACGAAGAAGAAAGAAGAUUGAAGACAGAAAUCUUCAGAGAGUGUCAGAGUGAUUGCUAUGAGAGAUAUGUAUAAGAAGUUAUUUUUGUAUGUGUUAAGUUAUUAUGUGAUUUAAUAUACAAUAUAAGGCAUGAUUAGCCUAGUUUCAUUGUAAUUCCUUUUCACAGUAAUUAAAACUGCAGGUGUAAACGGAUAACCUUAACACGUCACGUUAGCAAGUUAUUUUUAUGAUAAAAGAGGUUAUCCUGAUUUAAAUUACCCAUACUUUUAACCCUAGAUAUUUUGGGAUAUAAAAGAGAAAUACCCAAAGUUAAAUUGGGCACUACACUGGUGGCUCAUGCGGUGAGAUAUUAAACUGCAGUUUCAUUUACUGUGAAAGGAACAAUAUUUUAGUUGAUAGAAUUAUAGAAGUUAUCUAAAAUGUCUGAUAAUGAAGUUACCAUAAAUCUUGGAGAGCCUCAAGGCAAUCCUACAAUUCAGGAAGUUCAUAUGGAGAUAGGAACAAUUCACAAUGAAAUUGCACUUAUAUUACGAAGGUUAGAUGAGGAGACUGAAAAAAGAACAGAAUUAGAGAGGGCUGUGAAGGACUUAACUUCUGAAGUUCGUUCAUUAGCUUCGGAGGUUGCAACAAAGCCUAAUCUUAACCUGACAGGUCCAGUAACAAGUACCCCGACCCCUGUAAACCCAUAUUAUAACAGUAAUGACAUAGAGAAACUAUGUCUAAAAGAUUUACAUCACGUUUGGGCCUCUAUGCAUAUAAAAGAUUUCGUAGAUCAGAUUAAACGCCUAGGAUUCCCAGACGAACACUGUAAGAAUAUUGCAAUCACUCGCAUGGACAAGGAGCUGAGGUUGUUCAUUGUAGGUGAAAUGCAGAAAUUCCCUAAUGGCGGAACAAUUGACGACAUGGAGAAUAUUUUAAGUUGUCAGUUUAGUAGAAGAUACGAUGCUAUAGACGCUUAUAGAGAGUUAUAUAACUUAUCAUAUAACUUGGAUGAUGAUCCUCGGGCUUUUGUCAAUCAAUUCAUUGUGAAGUUUAGGACCAUUCGGAGUUUUUUCCCAAACACCCCAGCACCAAACGAGGAAGAUAUCUUGCACGAAAUUAUGAUGGAAAAUCUUCCCGCUGAGAUUAAGGCCGCAGUAAAAGUAUGUGCUAGGAGGGGCAUGGGUGAUGAUUUCCUGAGAGAACUCGAGAAAGAAAGAGUAUUUUGGAGGUCGAGAGUAAAUAAGGUGGACGUAAGAGCAAAGGGAAAUCCGGAAUGGACUAGAGUGUGGGUUUGCGGUUGGUGUCAGGACGGAAGUAAGCAUCUAAGAAUAAACUGUCCACGUAAGCCAGAGGCCGGCAGUUGUUUUGAUUGUUUGGCCCCGAAACGAAGGAAAGGACAUGCUGGAUGUCCUGGGAGACAGGACGCGGUCAGGAGGGAUAGGAACACUAGUAAUGAAAAUGUCUUUGAUGGUACUGUUAUUGAUCGAUCCUCUGAAAAGCUAAGAACUUUCAUUGAAAGAGAAGAUAUUUUAGAUAAAAUCGAGGAAAAAUACCUUACGGCUGAAGAUGAAAGAGAGAUACUAACUGGCGUUAGAGUACGAAUCACUUCGAAAAGGUUUCAAGAUUUUGUAAUAACAGAGGAUACUUUGUCUUUCUUUGUAAGUUAGGUUGUAUGUUCAUUUGUUUGACUAUAAUCCAAGGAUUUACAUAGAAGAUAUUCUUUUUUUUAAUAUUAUACUCGUACUUGUUAAAACAAUCUCCUAUGCUUGGUUGCCCUAAGUAAUGCUGAUAAUGAUACCGAGAUGAUUACGUGACAUAUUUGAGCCUCCCACGAGGUACCAUGAGAGAGUAGAAGCCCCACAUGGAGGGAGAGGUAUCUGAUGCUUUUGAGCCUCCCACGAGGUACCAUGAGAGGGUAGAAGUCCCGCAUGGAGGGAGAGGUAUCUGAUGCUUUUGAGCCUCCCACGAGGUACCAUGAGAGGGUAGAAGUCCCGCAUGGAGGGAGAGGUAUCUGAUGCUUUUGAGCCUCCCACGAGGUACCAUGAGAGGGUAGAAGUCCCGCAUGGAGGGAGAGGACUGUAGUCUCUAAUGAAUGGGCGGUGUAGAAGUUAAGUUAUGUCAAAUCGAGCGCUCCCUAAACUUACGGGUGUCUUUCACUAUGUUCUUCUUGAGAUUUAGGGAUUUUCGGCAAAGUACAGUCAAAUUAUUAGGGAUAUAGGAUAAGGAGUUGUAAGGGAAGUGUCAACCUGAAGGUCCCCACCCAGAAUACAUGAUACCGGGAAGAUCUGUUCAGAGCAUUCCGAGCCAGAGUAUUGUGUAAUAUUCUCAAAUUAGCAGAAUUAAUGUUUGGUCAUUAUUCCCUAAACCUGUAACCUGGAUUCUAUAUAGGGCGCGGGGAAGUUGACACGACCCCUCACAUCUGUUAAGACCUGUCACAUCUUACGUAGGUGAAACUCUCUGGACCAGCUUACGUGGAGUCCCCUGGUAUGUGUACAAAGUUCAUAAGACGCAGCAUGUAGUCUUUACUAUUUUCUAGCCUCCUCGAUACGGAGAAUGUAUAUCAUUCCGAAGAGGAAGGAUAGGAGUGUUGGAAAUGGUUGUUUAAUGUCACUACGGUAGAAAAAUCAGCUGAGGAGAGUGUAAUCAUAUUCGGCUAGAAGGACAACUGUUGUUAUGUAGACGAAUUUCGGUCUACCCAAACCCGAGGAGCGUAGUAGUGACCGGGAUGUUAUGAAGAGGAUUAAUGACCGAAAUCCGUCUAAGAAAUUGAAAUUGAUGUGUUUUUUCCACUAUAUGUAACCGAGGAUAUUGUCAAUAUAUGUAAGUAACUCUAUGUAUCAUUUACUUCCUGUAAGACUUUCUCCUGCAUAUUGUAAUCAGGAGUAUCCAUAUGAUUGCUAUUUAAGUAUCACUUAGUUUAUAUAACCUCAUGUAAAUUGUACCAAGGUUAUGUAGUAGUGUAGAAUAAGGAUUAUUAUAAGAAAAACGGAAAAUUGUAAUCUACUGAG
RNAcentral lists this unclassified non-coding RNA (3601 nucleotides) under Penaeus japonicus. Its description in RNAcentral is "uncharacterized LOC122260011, transcript variant X1". Lineage: Eukaryota; Metazoa; Arthropoda; Malacostraca; Decapoda; Penaeidae. The record is from RNAcentral.